AUAUUAUGAAUGUUUUAUACAAUACAUUUUUUUUAAAUAUUUUUUUGUAUAAAAGAUUACAGUAUCAUGAUUAUUAGCUGUUAUUUUAUAAAGCUUUUAAGAUAUAGUGCAAUGGGAAUUUUUAAGCAUUUUGGUUGGUGAUGGUUAAAAAUUGAAAAAAAACAGGGUUGCUGAAACAUGGGUUUGUUAUAUGGGGUUCAAAAAUGUUAAAAGGUUGUUUCUAAACUAUAUAUACAAGUCUUCCAAGAUGCUUUUCUAAAUAAAAUGGUGUUGGUUUAAAAAUAGUUAUAAAGGGUAAUAUUAGUCAGUUAAAAGUGGUGUUAUGUAUAUGGAAAUGUUGUAUAAAUGGUAUUUAUAAAGUUUUAUGAGCUCCCUAAAAUUUUAAUUACGAUUCAUUCAAACUAUUGUGCAACUUCUAUUUAGUUUUUUCAGGAGAAUCACUUUUUGGGUUUCCCUUGGCAAGUCAUGAGGGGGGUAGGACAUUAAUCGAGACACCGGGAUCGGUAUUUUUAAGCCCGAAAUUUUAGGAUUGAUCCUUUUGGGAUCUGGGAAUUCUUUUUUUCGAAUUUCAGGAUGUCGGGAUUUAAAUUUCUUUAAAUUUGGUCUGAUUUCAUGUUUUUAAGCCCAGGAUUUCGGGAUCAUGACCCAUCCUACCCCCAUCCCCCUCCUCUGUCAUGGUCUUUGCAAGAGACUAGGGAAAUCUUUUUGUGAUCUCUGACAGUAACUUUAGUUUUAGAAUCUAGAUAACCAUGAAUUGGAACUGUAUUCAAAGCAGUUCUUAAGUGCCUUCUAAUUUAUGCAAUUUUUAUUUAAUUAUUUAUAAAUCUUUUAAUAAACACCAAGCUAAAAAUAAAUCGUUUAUUUUACACUGUGAAACUAAAAUGACAGAGUUCACUAUGCAAAAUUAUACUUUUCCAAUUAGACAAGUGAGACAAAACUCUCUCAAAAGGAAAAAAUAUUCUGUGUAGUUUUGGCAAUUUACCAGUCUUUUGAAGAAAAAAAGCUAGUUUCCAGAAUGAGACAAGUAUAUACUAGAGCUCAGCAGCUUUCACGGUUGUUGCCGUCUGCUCAGGAAGUAGAAAUGAAUUGUGAAAAAAAGGAAAAACUAUUUUUAACUUUUGAAACAGCUG
This 1130-nucleotide long non-coding RNA is filed under the name Mytilus galloprovincialis (Mediterranean mussel). The record is from RNAcentral. Lineage: Eukaryota; Metazoa; Mollusca; Bivalvia; Mytilida; Mytilidae.